This 300-nucleotide ribosomal RNA is filed under the name uncultured Oscillospiraceae bacterium. RNAcentral describes it as "bacterial SSU rRNA". It matches the Rfam family "Bacterial small subunit ribosomal RNA", at positions 355 to 669 of the family's 1533-position model. Lineage: Bacteria; Bacillati; Bacillota; Clostridia; Eubacteriales; Oscillospiraceae. The record is from RNAcentral.
UGGGGAAUAUUGGGCAAUGGGCGAAAGCCUUACCCAGCAAUGCCGCGUGAGUGAAGAAGGUCUUCGGAUUGUAAAGCUCUUUGAUCAGGGACGAACACAAUGACGGUACCUGAAGAACAAGCCCCGGCUAACUACGUGCCAGCAGCCGCGGUAAUACGUAGGUGGCGAGCGUUAUCCGGAAUUACUGGGUGUAAAGGGUGUGUAGGCGGGCAUGCAAGUCAGAUGUGAAAACUAUGGGCUUAACCCAUAGCCUGCAUUUGAAACUGUGAGUCUUGAGAGUGGGAGAGGUAAAUGGAAUUC